UUGGGCAAGUCUGGUGCCAGCAGCCGCGGUAAUUCCAGCUCCAAUAGCGUAUAUUAAAGUUGUUGCCGUUAAAAAGCUCGUAGUUGAACCUUGGACCUGGCUGAUCUGUCCUCCUAAUCGAGCGCACGGAUUCGGUCGGGUCUUUCCUUCUGGGGAGCCCUAUGCCCUUCACUGGGUGUAGUGGGGAACCAGGACUUUUACCUUGAAAAAAUUAGAGUGUUCAAAGCAGGCCUUUGCUCGAAUACAUUAGCAUGGAAUAAUAGAAUAGGACAUCGGUUCUAUUUUGUUGGUUUCUAGGACCGCUGUAAUGAUUAAUAGGGAUAGUCGGGGGCGUCAGUAUUCAAUUGUCAGAGGUGAAAUUCUUGGAUUUAUUGAAGACUAACUACUGCGAAAGCAUUCGCCAAGGAUGUUUUCAUUAAUCAGUGAACGAAAGUUAGGGGAUCGAAGACGAUCAGAUACCGUCGUAGUCUUAACCAUAAACUAUGCCGACUAGGGAUCGGACGGUGGUUUUUUUAUGCCCCGUUCGGCGCCUUACGGGAAAC
RNAcentral lists this ribosomal RNA (542 nucleotides) under uncultured Ascomycota. RNAcentral describes it as "SSU rRNA". It matches the Rfam family "Eukaryotic small subunit ribosomal RNA", at positions 548 to 1098 of the family's 1831-position model. The record is from RNAcentral. Lineage: Eukaryota; Fungi; Ascomycota.